This 484-nucleotide ribosomal RNA is filed under the name uncultured bacterium. RNAcentral describes it as "partial 16S ribosomal RNA". It matches the Rfam family "Bacterial small subunit ribosomal RNA", at positions 30 to 507 of the family's 1533-position model. The record is from RNAcentral.
AUUGAACGCUGGCGGCAGGCCUAACACAUGCAAGUCGAGCGGAUGAAGGGAGCUUGCUCCUGGAUUCAGCGGCGGACGGGUGAGUAAUGCCUAGGAAUCUGCCCGGCAGUGGGGGAUAACGUCCGGAAACGGGCGCUAAUACUGCAUACGACCUGAGGGAGAAAGUGGGGGAUCUUCGGACCUCACGCUAUCAGAUGAGCCUAGGUCGGAUUAGCUAGUUGGUGGGGUAAAGGCCUACCAAGGCGACGAUCCGUAACUGGUCUGAGAGGAUGAUCAGUCACACUGGAACUGAGACGCGGUCCAGACUCCUACGGGAGGCAGCAGUGGGGAAUAUUGGGCAGUGGGCGAAAGCCUGAUCCAGCCGUGCCGCGUGUGUGGAGAAGGUCUUCGGAUUGUAAAGCACUUUAAGUUGGGAGGAAGGGCAGUAAGUUGAUACCUUGCUGUUUUGACGUUACCAACAGAAUAAGCACCGGCUAACUUCGUG